This is a long non-coding RNA of Paramisgurnus dabryanus, 1575 nucleotides long. RefSeq lists it as uncharacterized. NCBI's taxonomy places the organism in Eukaryota, Metazoa, Chordata, Actinopteri, Cypriniformes, Cobitidae. The record is from RefSeq and is a predicted model, not a curated record.
CUUGAGACAAAGGAUAAACAAAGACAUUGAGUAUGUUUACAUGCACAUAAUAAGAGGACAAUUAUCCUAUUAUGAUAUUAUAAAAAUCAGCUUAUUACAUUAACAUGUUUCAAGCGUUUUAAUUUACUUUUAUUUGUGAAGUUUAUCUAUCUCAGGUGGAGACAUACGCACAUACGAAACGGCAAAAAAGACUUUAAAAUCUGGUUUAAGAGCAAAAAAACUACCUGUGCCAAUCAGUUUUUGCCAUUUAUGGGCUUUACCCUAUAAAAGAAAACCAUUUUAUGCAUUUAAAUGACCUUACACGUUAUCAGUUUAUUAAGCGUUUAGACUAUGUAGACACACUCACUGUGCACUAAAAUUAAAAAAAAUUGGUUAACACGACCACUCGUGGUGGCUUCACUCAGAGGUUGGAGAAGACAACCGGUGGACUAAACAUCAAGCCUCUGCACGAUUCAGGUAAGUGGAAUAAAAUACAUUGUAAAUAAACAUUAUUAAAACAGAUUGUGAAGUCAUUCAUUCAAAACUUGCUAUGACCUAAGCCUAAAUGACUUAAUUUCUUUUUAGAAUUAAGACAACCUUAGCAGGAGAGCCCCAGCAGUAACUUUCUCUCAAGCAGAUGAGCAAUAAGUUGCUUUGUAUGAACACCACCCUAACAAUCAAGUAACCUGUUAACAGUAGACCAAAGGUAUGAUGAUCAAUUAUAAAUGCAAUAUGGUUGAAAGGUCAGUAAACAAACAACAAAAAGGUAAUUUCUUAAUAGAAUGUCUAUACAUUUUUUGCUUUUGUUACAUAUUUCAUACAUCAAAAUCAUUAAACGUUAAUAAUUAUGUAUUCCAACUUGUUGCAGCUUGACAAAAAUGUAGCUUGAAGGAGAAGGGACAGCUGAGUAACAAAGUCCUGGUAUGCAGACGACGAUACUAUUACACUGACAAGAGUGUAAUGAUGAUGGAGACACAAGCCAGAGAAAGGGGGGACCAAACACCAGGCCAGAAUUCUGCAUGAGUCAGAUCCAGUGGGUGCAGAUUAUCAUACAGAUGGUUCAAGUGUGGAUCCACCUAAUAUUCAAGAUUUUCUGUCCUGGGACACUCGGCUAACCAUCAAGAAAGAACACAGUAGGUUAACAAGAAUCUGACCUCACGUUUGAUCAUUACAAGAUUAUGGCAGUACAUUACACAUUUAAGGACUGUUAUUCCUCUGGCUGAUUUAAAAAUAACCAAAAGUUCUUAAAAAGAAGCAGCCCUAGUUAUUUUGGCUUGUUAUAAACUAUAUAGACAUAAGUAUUGCGACACCUCCUUCUAAUAAACAGGUUUAAAUACUUUACAUAUUUCCAUGAGCACAAAUCUUAAUGCUACAGCAUAUGAUAUUCUAGAAAAACCGUUUGAUGCUAAAUUUAUAGCAAGAGUUUUGGGAAAUCGGGAAAAGAUGUUCUUUGCCCGAGGAAACAUUUGAUUAAUUUAAAGAUAUUGUGUUUCUUUGUAUGUUAUAGAAAAACGUUGCUUUUUGCAUACACUCGUGUAAAUAUGCAUCUUAUGAAUGUUUUCCUUUGUCUAAUUUUAAUAAAUUUUACGCAAUCAA